GUUCUCUCUCCUAUCUUUUAUAAGGAAGAGAUUGAAUUGAAACUUUUGAUUCUCGUCAUGGUUUCUUAUCGGUGAUUUCACCUCCGGUAUAUUGUGGUCAGUUCGACGAGUACAUCCGGUUUCUGCUUCCGGUGGCUCACGGUCUUCUUGACGGAGCUAUCCAGCUUUGUCUCCGCGUCGUAUUUCUUUUUGAAAGCGGUAGCGAUUUAUUUCUGGGGAUUUUUCGGUUCGUUGUUCGAAAGAUCGAUGGUGGUGGGUUAGAUCGUAGACGAUUUGUCUUUUUGGAAACGUAGAUCUGGUGUGUGACUUAUUCCGCUGUGAAAAUGACUCCGUCGUAAGUCGUUCUUCAUCGGCCUGACUCUGUUUGGCGGCAGAGUUCCGUCAAGUCUGCACUCAAGCACCGGUGAAAGGUUGUAUCUUCUUUUCUUGACGCGUGUUUCAGGACGCAGGGCAUUCGUCCACGAGGUGGGAUGAGUUGGCAUCUUCUUUGAUGGGUUUUAUCCUUGGACGUACGGUCUAAGUUGUUUGUUUAGUUUCGGUCGGUUGGUUGGCUUCGUAUACUGUUUUUGUUGGAUUUGGUCUGUUUCGACCUGGACCCAUUAAUAAAAGUACCCGAUGACAAAAUAAAAAAUAAAAGGAACAAGGACCGAAGGGAAAUUGAUAGAAGCCACUUUUGAAUUUUUUAACACAAAGAUGACAAAACAUAACAUUCUUACAUACAUUAAAAAAAAAAACAUAACAGAUUUGAAAAUUUGCAAGAAAUUUGAGAGAAUUAAAAAAUUUCCCUCAUACUCCUUCGAUAAUUUGAGGAAGAUUUACGAUGAAUUUUUUUUGGCAUUGUAAUCUCUUCACAAUUCCGCCACAAUUUUGCGAGGACAAUAUUCCGUCGCGAUUUUUUUUUCUUGCAAAUCGUAUGCUUUCUCCUUUUUCAAAAAAAUCGUAUGCUUUCUUAUUAUAGUGCCAGCAAAAAAUAGUGAAGUAUAAGCUUUUAAAAUUUUAUAUUAUCAAAGUGGUCCAACAUGUUUAUACUAAAAGAUAAAGAUGAUUUAGAAAAACAGUACAAAAUCUAAAUUUUGUUUUCAUCGUAUAAUUACAUUUUCCAAAUCCAAAUAUUGCAAGUACUAAAUUGUUUACCAUUUGAUAAUUUAAUUGAAACCUAAACUACUAAAGAAAACUGAUAAACUAAAGUUGCAUUUAUAAA
Brassica rapa (field mustard) is the source of this 1201-nucleotide long non-coding RNA. RefSeq lists it as uncharacterized. The record is from RefSeq and is a predicted model, not a curated record. Lineage: Eukaryota; Viridiplantae; Streptophyta; Magnoliopsida; Brassicales; Brassicaceae.